This is a long non-coding RNA of Beta vulgaris subsp. vulgaris (sugar beet), 1536 nucleotides long. RefSeq lists it as uncharacterized. The transcript is spliced from 2 exons. The record is from RefSeq and is a predicted model, not a curated record. NCBI's taxonomy places the organism in Eukaryota, Viridiplantae, Streptophyta, Magnoliopsida, Caryophyllales, Amaranthaceae.
CUUUCUCGGCCUUUUGGCUAAGAUCAAGUGUAGUAUCUGUUCUUAUCAGUUUAAUAUCUGAUACGUGGGCCAAUGGCCCACAACGAUAUUAAAUUUAUUUUUUAAGGGGGAAGUUCCACCACACUAGCUUGCUAUUGGGAACUUCACGCGUCGCCUAUGCGUUGCACUACUGCACUGGCCUGGCACACCCCACCAAUUCAUAGUCCUAUUUUUUUUUUUUCAAUAAGUCGAAUAUUUACUGCUGGUCCAGUUAUUCUUAUUUGUGAAUAGUUCCCACAUCGCACAAGCUUAAUGAUUUCGAAAGCAAAUAUUCUAUAUAUACUAUACCACCUCACUCUUUGAUUAACACGUGAGUUUCUUGGUUAAAAGUGGAGUAAACCCUAUUUAUUUGGGUACCUCUCAACAGAGGUUCUAUUAUCAUUAUAGGGGGCAAAAAGCCCCCUUCCAAUUUAAGUUCUAAAAUUUAGAAGAUUUUUAUCAUUAAUGAAAAUUUUGUUGAAGGAAAGAAUUUCGGUGCUUACUCAACGAGCAAGGGACAAGUGCUCCUCAGUUCGUGGCGAUUCUCCAAAAGGGCAACAUAAUUCUAGUGAUAAUGAUCAAGACAUUGUAUACUCUUUAUCGGAUUGUCUAGUUGAAACUGGAAAUGUUUUUUCAACCAUUUCCAAUUUGAGGGGGAUGUUGGAAUAUAUAAAUUAAAUGGUUACAAGUUUAGUUGUUAAGUUCAUAAAAUGUUUGUUACAAACAUCAUUAGUAACAACUAACUAAUAGUUUAUUGUAAAAUAUAAAUAGUACAAUAGUAUUUGUAACUGUACUCAAUUUAAUAAUAACUAAAUGUAGUUCUUGUUUUCUCUCUCCUCUCUCCCAUCUCCUUUACUACUCCUAUACACGAGCUCCUUCAAUGGCUCCUUUAUUCUCUCUUCAUCAUUCUCUUCCUCCUUAAACACAACGAAAUUUAACACCAUUAUAAUCUUGCUCUAGUUCUUCGAGGAUAUGGUUGCCAAAGAGUGAAGUUAUUGUGAUCAUAUUUGCUAUUGUUUUCACAGCAGCAGUUGCAUGCUUGGUAAUGAUCUAUAUCAUGUUGAGAAUAUGAACUACUUGGAGAAAAGUUGCUGUAUCUAGUUAAUUUUUUUUUUCAUAUGUAUAAAUUCCUCUUCUCUUAUUCUUCUUGUCAGUUCAGUGAGGAGAAAACUUUUAGUUACUGGAUUUAGAGUCUCGUGUUCUAGUCUUCUAGUUCUAGAGAUGUGUAAAAAUUCAUUUUCAGUUUGCUGAUAAUUGAUGUUAUUUUUCUUAUGUGAUUCUGUAUAGCUUUGAUUAAUUAUCAAAGGAUUUGAAAAAAUGAACUAAUAUACUGCAUUGCAAAUGUGUAGGACGAGCUGUUUUUGCUGAUCUUCCAACAUGUGGUUCAUCAAAGUUAUCUCUAACUCUUUUUAAAUUUUAACAUGUGUUUUUUUUUUCCCGACGAUGUCUCGGAUAAGUUACAAUAAACAAAUAUGUUAUUAUUUAUAAAUUUCAUAAUCUAUUUUGCUAUUUUUCGUA